Molecule: transfer RNA, 67 nt
Filed under: Chaetodon auriga (threadfin butterflyfish)
Lineage: Eukaryota; Metazoa; Chordata; Actinopteri; Chaetodontiformes; Chaetodontidae
Description: tRNA-Cys
Source: RNAcentral
AGUCCUGAGGUGUCUUACACGUUAGAUUGCAAAUCUAGAGAAGUAGGCUAACAGCCUGCCGGGGCUU